Molecule: ribosomal RNA, 286 nt
Filed under: Limosilactobacillus reuteri
Lineage: Bacteria; Bacillati; Bacillota; Bacilli; Lactobacillales; Lactobacillaceae
Description: partial 23S ribosomal RNA
Rfam family: Bacterial large subunit ribosomal RNA
Source: RNAcentral
GACUAGUGAAUACAUAGCUAGCAAGAGGUAGACGCAGUGAACUGAAACAUCUUAGUAGCUGCAGGAAGAGAAAGAAACAUCGAUUCCCUGAGUAGCGGCGAGCGAAAAGGGAAGAGCCCAAACCAACGAGCUUGCUUGUUGGGGUUGUAGGACUGAACUUUAGAGUUACCAAAGUGCGACGUAGUCGCAACAGUUGGGAAGCUGUGCCAUAGAGGGUGAAAGCCCCGUAGACGAAACGUCACACUCUCUGUUCAGGAUCCUGAGUACGGCGGGACACGUGAAACCC